UACAGAGGCCUCGAGCGUUAAUCGGAAUCACUGGGCUUAAAGGGUGCGUAGGCGGGACCGCAAGUGCCUUGUGAAAUCCCACGGCUUAACCGUGGAACUGCUUGGUAGACUUCGGUCCUUGAGGUCGGUAGGGGUUGCUGGAACUCUAGGUGGAGCGGUGAAAUGCGUAGAUAUCUAGAGGAACGCCAAUGGUGAAGACAGGCAACUGGGCCGAUUCUGACGCUGAGGCACGAAAGCGUGGGGAGCGAACGGG
Molecule: ribosomal RNA, 253 nt
Filed under: uncultured bacterium
Lineage: Bacteria
Description: partial 16S ribosomal RNA
Rfam family: Bacterial small subunit ribosomal RNA
Source: RNAcentral